RNAcentral lists this ribosomal RNA (453 nucleotides) under uncultured bacterium. Its description in RNAcentral is "bacterial SSU rRNA". It matches the Rfam family "Bacterial small subunit ribosomal RNA", at positions 335 to 783 of the family's 1533-position model. The record is from RNAcentral.
ACUCCUACGGGAGGCAGCAGUGGGGAAUAUUGCACAAUGGGCGCAAGCCUGAUGCAGCCAUGCCGCGUGUGUGAAGAAGGCCUUCGGGUUGUAAAGCACUUUCAGUCGUGAGGAAGGUAGUGUAGUUAAUAGCUGCAGUAUUUGUACGUUAGCGACAGAAGGAGCACCGGCUAACUCCGUGCCAGCAGCCGCGGUAAUACGGAGGGUGCGAGCGUUAAUCGGAAUUACUGGGCGUAAAGCGCAUGCAGGUGGUUUGUUAAGUCAGAUGUGAAAGCCCGGGGCUCAACCUCGGAAUAGCAUUUGAAACUGGCAGACUAGAGUACUGUAGAGGGGGUAGAAUUUCAGGUGUAGCGGUGAAAUGCGUAGAGAUCUGAAGGAUACCGGUGGCGAAGGCGGCCCCUGGACAGAUACUGACACUCAGAUGCGAAAGCGUGGGAGCAAACAGGAUUAGAU